GAUGAUGAUGAUGAUGAUGAUGAUGAUGAUGAUGAUGAUGAUGAUUCUUUAAAGAAUACUAAGAAUUCUGGAACAUUUCAGACAGAUAUCAUCUACUUCUAUUGUUCAAAAAUGGAUCAUGACCUGUUCUGGUGACAAGGCAAUUAAGCAAUGUGGAUAGUUCUUAGGCUUCAGGGUAAUCCCAGUAGGAUCAAUACAGAAUAGAAAGAUACAAACACAUGUUUAUAGUUCCACUAUAGAAGGAAGUAAUUCUUCCUUCAAAUAACUUAUGGAGUAAAGGAAUCUGCACCAUGAUCAUGUUUGAGAUUAGCAUAUUUUUCUCACUUGUUCUUCAUGUAAGAAAUAAGGUAGAAGGAAAGUUGUUCUCCACCCUAUGUGUCCCAUGCAAUAUCAUAACCUACAAAUCCCAUAAUUCUUAGGAAACAUGGUGGAUAUUACAUUGCAGAACAUAAGAGCAAUUAUUUCAGUACAAUUUGCAGUCCUAGUAGGUGAUUAUUCAUAUUGUUGUUAUAUUAUUAUUUUGUUUGCAGGGCACCAUUGUACCCUUGCCUGGUGGAUGUUGUAAGACAUGUAUAUUGAGGCCAGAUACCCCAUCGUGCACUCCCACUCAAACAAUGGACUACAUCAAGUACAAUGGCUGCCAUUCAGAGGAACUAGUCCCUGUGACUCGGUGUGAAGGAAGAUGUGAAACUUUUUCAUUAUACUCUCACGAAGCUAAUUCCAUGAGACAUACGUGCAGCUGCUGCAGAGAGUCAAAAACAACCAAGAAAGAAAUCAUGCUGUUGUGUCCUGGUGACAUCAGAAAGAAAUACAGGUACAUCCAUGUAGAACGCUGCGAGUGCAUGAAGUCUGGAUGCGGCAUCGACCAAAGCUCCUCAGAAGAAUACAUGGAGAACAAAGGAAACACCACGCAAGUGCCCCAGGAAGAGAAAGCAUUGGAACGGGUCAGGAAAGCUCUGAGGGCCAUCGGGAAGAGAACUUAAAAGAAGGAAAGCUUUGGAAUGAAAUAAGAUAACUGUUGAUACACAGUGAAGAAAUAUAUUGUGACUACUAUUAUAAUCAACCACUUUGCCUUACUUUUCUAUAUCAGAGAUGUCUAACCUUGGAAGUUUUAAGUCUUGUGGACUUUACCUCUUUGAAUUUUGCUGACUGGGGAAUUCUGGGAGUUGAAGUCCACAAGUCUUAAAUGUUGCUAAAGUUGGACACUCCUGUUCUACAGCCUUCUCAGUCUGAUCCCAACCCCCACCCCCUUUGGCUGUCCUUUAAUGUGCUCACGUAUUUAUUUGCACUAAAAAGAAAAUAAAAAUAUUUUUUUCUUAUAUAUGUAUGAAAAAAAUGAAGGAU
Thamnophis sirtalis is the source of this 1344-nucleotide non-coding RNA. NCBI's taxonomy places the organism in Eukaryota, Metazoa, Chordata, Lepidosauria, Squamata, Natricidae. The record is from RefSeq and is a predicted model, not a curated record.